AGACAUGUAAAAAUGACCUAGCUGUGACAUCUGUCACCCCAUUGAUCAUUAGGAUUGAUUCAGCUGAUCUGGUGGUUAGGCGAGUGUUCCCCUUCCUCCCUCAUUAUUCCAUGUGCAUCCUUCUUGAUGUAAGAGAAGAAGAUGACCUUCCCCAAUAGAGGAAUACUAGUCUUUGGUCAAGGUUAUAUUUGUAGCUACACCCCCCUGCUGAAAACUCCAAUCAAGUUCUCUUGCAUGAUUCUAAAUCCUGUCAUGUUGGCAUUGAUAACAUACACA
This 276-nucleotide small nuclear RNA is filed under the name Meriones unguiculatus (Mongolian gerbil). RNAcentral's name for it is "7SK RNA (ENSMUGG00000004214.1)". It matches the Rfam family "7SK RNA". Rfam says of the family: 7SK was discovered as an abundant small nuclear RNA in the mid-70s but a possible function has only recently been suggested. Two independent studies have found that 7SK RNA binds the CDK9/cyclin T complex (known as elongation factor P-TEFb). Lineage: Eukaryota; Metazoa; Chordata; Mammalia; Rodentia; Muridae. The record is from RNAcentral.